AACAAAACAUUCCAGGAAUUCUACUAUCAAAGUUCUAUUCCGUGAACAUCUGAUUAAAUUAUGGCUGGAAAGUUACCACAAGAUAUUCUAUGAAAAGAGUACAAUGUCCUCCUGGAGGGGUAAAAUUUUCCAUACUCUAAAGAGAGGCCAUUUACUAUUCAAUUUGCGUUCAUUUUCAAAUUUGCCGCGCGAGUAUCUAUGUAGCGUCGCGUGGUCAUUGGUCAUCAAGUCAUCAAUUAUUUCAUUUUCAUCAUAAGAUAACCUAAAAAUUUAGUAAAAAUUUUGAUUGGAAAAAAAUGCAUCGAUAAGGGGGUGAAAAAUGGAAAUUAGUGGCUUUUUUUGCUGUACUCAACUGUACUGUUUAGUAUGCUCUAGUUUUGGCUAUGGCUGGAUCUCUUAAACAAUUAUAAUCAGCUGAAAGUGGUCUACAAAAAACCAGAUAUAACCAAAAUAAAGAUAUAAAAAGUGUAUUGGCUAAUUGGAAGAAACAACAUUGUCCAUGCAUAAUAAGUUAUUACUUUAUAAACAAAUAUUAAUACCUAGGAAUGGAACCUGGAUAUAAUCAUCAAGAAGAUAGCAGGAAUCCCGACAAACAACUUAAAUAAGUACAAGAAUAUUGAGGAAAUCCUCCUCGAUACUACUGGGCAAACUAGAAGAUUGAAGAGGACAAAGCCUUUUGAACUAGUUUGAGUGAUAGGUGAUAGUGAAAAGCAGAGCAUAGUGCGUGAUGUGGCUGUGUAUGUUAGAAUAGUGCACGAUCUUGUUAGAUUAGAUAAGAGACGCUAUCGGGUAUAUUUUGAACCAUAUUAAAAAAGAAGCCAGACUCGAUAAAACGUGCCUUAUCGAAAAAAUACAAAGAGGCAAAAAAGUUUUGAAAACACUCUGUUUAACUAAUGGUACCUCAGUAAUAGUUUAAUUGGAACAUACAACAUUUGGGGGGUUUAAAGGAACAAAACCCCCAUAAAAUUUUUACGUGGACAUAUUAAAAAAGAAGUCGCAACUCGAUAAAAACUGCCUUAUCUGAAAAAUACUAAGAAACAAAAAUAUUGAAUUUAACUAAUGGUACCACAAUAAUAAAAUUGAAUUGGAACAUACACAAAAGUUUGGGAGGAUUUAAGGGAUCAAAACCCCCAUAAAAUUUUUAUGGGGUGCACAAAUUUCACCAUAAUUUUUCUUUAAGAUAUUCCUGCCAUAAUAAUGCCACAUGUCACAUGUCCAUUUUCAAUAAAAAAUCGCUAAUAGUUUUCGAUAUAAUCGAAAAAAUCCAUUUUCAUUUUGUAAUUUCAAAGGGCUGUAACUUUUUAUGUGCAUAUUUGUACAAGGUAAGUUAGGUUCAUUUGAACUAUUUUUGGUCCCAGAAUAAUGUGAUUUAAUUUAUGACCUGUAUUUUUGUUACACCCUGUAUAUACAGCCCAUUACGCACCACCUUAAAAAUUGGGCAUUUUUGAUGUCUCGAAUUUCCUAAACCUGUUGUUGCAUCUAAGUGAUUUUUUUUAUAAUAUUCUAGCCUAGGCCCUAGAAUAUGUUACCUCCUUAUGCUUGUCAUGCACAGGGAGCUAUACUGUAAUAUAUAUUAUAUCACAUUACUAUAGAGAGCGAUAUGAUAUAAUAUACAUAUAUUACAGCAUGACAAGCUUAAGGAGGUAACCUAUAGCCUAGGCUAUAAUAUUAUAAAAACAUCACUUAGAUGGGACAACAGGUUUAGGAAAUACGAGACAUCAAAUAUACCCCAUAUUUAAGGUGGUGCGUUAAUUUCUUGGAGAAGUGUAUUGUAAUUUAAUGUAAAUACUGUAAUAU
RNAcentral lists this long non-coding RNA (1797 nucleotides) under Diabrotica virgifera virgifera (western corn rootworm). Its description in RNAcentral is "uncharacterized LOC126893290". Lineage: Eukaryota; Metazoa; Arthropoda; Insecta; Coleoptera; Chrysomelidae. The record is from RNAcentral.